GGUCCCGUAGCCUAGUGGUGAGGCAGAGGUCUGCAAAACCUCGUACGGCGGUUCGAAUCCGCCCGGGACCU
This 71-nucleotide transfer RNA is filed under the name Pseudomonadota bacterium. RNAcentral's name for it is "tRNA-Cys". It matches the Rfam family "tRNA". Rfam says of the family: Transfer RNA (tRNA) molecules are approximately 80 nucleotides in length. The record is from RNAcentral. RNAcentral also lists the same sequence under 1 other name. Lineage: Bacteria; Pseudomonadati; Pseudomonadota.